AACACACCUUUCCCCAAAACCUUCCUCAAGGACCCAUUUGUAAACAGUCAGGCAUCAGCAUCUUGAUAGUUAAUGCCCUCCAUGAGAUCCCAGCCCAGCCCAGCAGCAAAGCUGAGGCAAUCCAAGCGCUGCCCAGCUGGGCAGACAGCGCUGCUGCCGGGACUCGGCCCGCAGCACUCCACCAGACAAACACGCCUGUCUUGGCAGAGGGCACUUCACAACCAGGCACUGCAACAAGGGCUGCAAUUCAGUGCCCAGAAAACAACAGGAGACUUGAUCCUUCCCACAUGAACACGAAGAAAUAAAGCAUAAGGCACUGAGCCAGCCACCAUGAAAUAAGCUGAAUGUGUAGGGAAACAUCUUCCCUGCUAGAAUGAGGAGAGACUCCCCUGACCCCCAGCUGCCACAACACGAGGCACAAGGGUUUCUCCUCCCUGCAAAACAUCAUUCUGCAGAGGUCAGAUACAAUGAACUUGUCCUGAAAGAAUUUACCCUUGUUCUCCAGAAACACUACAAAAACAAAGUUUUCCUCAUGCUGAGAAGAACAGAAACAAAACCAUAACUUUAAAAUCUGGCUGCUGUGGGUGAGCUCUCCUGUUCCAAAGCCAAACACUUUGCUCAUCCUCACCAGGCUGCACCCAACAGCUACAACUCAGCACCUCAACACCGUUUUCUGCUCUUUUUUUUGUCCAUGUCAAUACAUGCAACAUUAUGAUAACACAGACAGCUGAUAACAUCAAAAUGUGAGGAUUUGGGAAGUUUUUUUAAGUUGGUAUCAGCCACAGUGCAGGAUUUGGCCAGACAGCUCCUUCCACAGAAAGCCACACAAUGAAAUACAGAGGUUUUCCCUUAGCCAUGAAUUAUCAAAGAUAAUCAAAUAUUAUCAAAGAUUCAUCUUUAUUCAAAGAUAAAUAUUUACAAAUUUCCUAAGAAGCAAAGGCACACAGCUCUUGCUGAUUUACAAGCAGAACAAAUAUUCCUGUAAAGGAAUAUUAAAAAUAUUAAAAAUAUUAACAAUAAAACCUUGACUAAAAUUUCCCUGUUUUUGACCU
This is a long non-coding RNA of Serinus canaria (Common canary), 1052 nucleotides long. RefSeq lists it as uncharacterized. NCBI's taxonomy places the organism in Eukaryota, Metazoa, Chordata, Aves, Passeriformes, Fringillidae. The transcript is spliced from 3 exons. The record is from RefSeq and is a predicted model, not a curated record.